Molecule: ribosomal RNA, 670 nt
Filed under: uncultured crenarchaeote
Lineage: Archaea; Thermoproteati; Thermoproteota
Description: bacterial SSU rRNA
Rfam family: Archaeal small subunit ribosomal RNA
Source: RNAcentral
UUCUAUGGGGCGCAGCAGGCGAGAAAACUUUGCAAUGUGCGCAAGCACGACAAGGUUAAUCCGAGUGAUUCCUGCUAAAGGAAUCUUUUGUUAGUUGUAAAACCACUUAUGAAUAAGGGGUGGGCAAGUUCUGGUGUCAGCCGCCGCGGUAAAACCAGCACCUCAAGUGGUCAGGAGGAUUAUUGGGCCUAAAGCAUCCGUAGCCUGCUUUGUAAGUUUUCGGUUAAAUCCAUCAGCUCAACUGAUGGGCCGCCGAAAAAACUGCAAAGCUAGGGAGUGGGAGAGGUAGACGGUACUCGAUAGGAAGGGGUAAAAUCCUUUGAUCUAUUGAUGACCCCCUGUGGCGAAGGCGGUCUACCAGAACACGUUCGACGGUGAGGGAUGAAAGCUGGGGGAGCAAACCGGAUUAGAUACCCGGGUAGUCCCAGCUGUAAACGAUGCAGACUCGGUGAUGCCCUGGCUUGUGGCCAGUGCAGUGCCGCAGGGAAGCCGUUAAGUUUGCCGCCUGGGAAGUACGUACGCAAGUAUGAAACUUAAAGGAAUUGGCGGGGGAGCACCACCAGGGGUGAAGCCUGCGGUUCAAUUGGAGUCAACGCCGGGAAUCACUAGUGCGGCCGCCUGCAGGUCGACCAUAUGGGAGAGCUCCCAACGCGUUGGAAGGAUAGCUUUC